GACGAACGCGGCGGCGUGCCUAAUACAUGCAAGUAGGACGCACAGUUUAUACCGUAGCUUGCUACACCAUAGACUGUGAGUUGCGAACGGGUGAGUAACGCGUAGGUAACCUACCUAUUAGAGGGGGAUAACUAUUGGAAACGAUAGCUAAUACCGCAUAACAGUAUGUAACACAUGUUAGAUGCUUGAAAGAUGCAAUUGCAUCGCUAGUAGAUGGACCUGCGUUGUAUUAGCUAGUAGGUAGGGUAAAGGCCUACCUAGGCAACGAUACAUAGCCGACCUGAGAGGGUGAUCGGCCACACUGGGACUGAGACACGGCCCAGACUCCUACGGGAGGCAGCAGUAGGGAAUCUUCGGCAAUGGGGGGAACCCUGACCGAGCAACGCCGCGUGAGUGAAGAAGGUUUUCGGAUCGUAAAGCUCUGUUGUUAAGGAAGAACGAGUGUGAGAAUGGAAAGUUCAUGCUGUGACGGUACUUAACCAGAAAGGGACGGCUAACUACGUGCCAGCAGCCGCGGUAAUACGUAGGUCCCGAGCGUUGUCCGGAUUUAUUGGGCGUAAAGCGAGCGCAGGCGGUUAGAAAAGUCUGAAGUGAAAGGCAGUGGCUCAACCAUUGUAGGCUUUGGAAACUGUUUAACUUGAGUGCAGAAGGGGAGAGUGGAAUUCCAUGUGUAGCGGUGAAAUGCGUAGAUAUAUGGAGGAACACCGGUGGCGAAAGCGGCUCUCUGGUCUGUAACUGACGCUGAGGCUCGAAAGCGUGGGGAGCGAACAGG
RNAcentral lists this ribosomal RNA (772 nucleotides) under Streptococcus anginosus. RNAcentral's name for it is "bacterial SSU rRNA". It matches the Rfam family "Bacterial small subunit ribosomal RNA", at positions 28 to 776 of the family's 1533-position model. Lineage: Bacteria; Bacillati; Bacillota; Bacilli; Lactobacillales; Streptococcaceae. The record is from RNAcentral.